Molecule: ribosomal RNA, 501 nt
Filed under: Termitomyces sp. DKA-2007
Lineage: Eukaryota; Fungi; Basidiomycota; Agaricomycetes; Agaricales; Lyophyllaceae
Description: eukaryotic LSU rRNA
Rfam family: Eukaryotic large subunit ribosomal RNA
Source: RNAcentral
AGGAUUCCCCUAGUAACUGCGAGUGAAGCGGGAAAAGCUCAAAUUUAAAAUCUGGUAGUCUUUGGCUGCCCGAGUUGUAAUCUAGAGAAGCAUUAUCCGCGUUGGACCGUGUACAAGUGUCCUGGAAUGGACCAUCAUAGAGGGUGAGAAUCCCGUCUUUGACACGGACUCCCAAGGCUUUGUGAUGUGCUCUCAAAGAGUCGAGUUGUUUGGGAAUGCAGCUCUAAAUGGGUGGUAAAUUCCAUCUAAAGCUAAAUAUUGGCGAGAGACCGAUAGCGAACAAGUACCGUGAGGGAAAGAUGAAAAGAACUUUGGAAAGAGAGUUAAACAGUACGUGAAAUUGCUGAAAGGGAAACGCUUGAAGUCAGUCGCGUUGGCUGGGGAUCAACCUUGCUUUUUUGCUUGGCUUACUUCCCAGUUGACGGGUCAGCAUCAGUUUUGACCGGUGGAUAAAGGUUAAGGGAAUGUGGCACCCUCGGGUGUGUUAUAGCCCUUGGUCAU